Molecule: transfer RNA, 63 nt
Filed under: Bathytoma punicea
Lineage: Eukaryota; Metazoa; Mollusca; Gastropoda; Neogastropoda; Conidae
Description: tRNA-Gln
Source: RNAcentral
UAUACAGCGGUGUAGGGGCACAAAGAAUUUUGAUUUCUUAGGAGAGGUUCAUUACCUUCUGAU